RNAcentral lists this ribosomal RNA (252 nucleotides) under uncultured bacterium. RNAcentral describes it as "partial 16S ribosomal RNA". It matches the Rfam family "Bacterial small subunit ribosomal RNA", at positions 524 to 775 of the family's 1533-position model. The record is from RNAcentral.
UACGGAGGGGGCUAGCGUUGUUCGGAAUUACUGGGCGUAAAGCGCACGUAGGCGGCUUUGCAAGUCAGAGGUGAAAGCCCGGGGCUCCAACCCCGGAAUUGCCUUUGAGACUGCAUCGCUAGAAUUGUGGAGAGGUAAGUGGAAUUCCGAGUGUAGAGGUGAAAUUCGUAGAUAUUGGAAGAACACCAGUGGCGAAGGCGACUUACUGGACACAUAUUGACGCUGAGGUGCGAAAGCGUGGGGAGCAACAGG